Molecule: ribosomal RNA, 457 nt
Filed under: uncultured bacterium
Lineage: Bacteria
Description: bacterial SSU rRNA
Rfam family: Bacterial small subunit ribosomal RNA
Source: RNAcentral
UACGGAAGGCAGCAGUGGGGAAUAUUGCACAAUGGGCGAAAGCCUGAUGCAGCUAUGCCGCGUGUAUGAAGAAGGCCUUAGGGUUGUAAAGUACUUUCAUCGGGGAGGAAAAAACAAAACUAAUAAUUUUAUUUCUUGACGUUACCCGAAAAAGAAGCACCGGCUAACUCCGUGCCAGCAGCCGCGGUAAUACGGAGGGUGCUAGCGUUAAUCAGAAUUACUGGGCGUAAAGAGCACGUAGGUGGUUUUUUUAAGUUCAGAUGUGAAUCCCCUGGGCUUAACCUAGGAACUGCAUUUUGAAACUGAAAUACUAGAGUAUCGUAGAGGGAGGUAGAAUUCUAGGUGUAGCGGUGAAAUGCGUAGAUAUCUGGAGGAAUACCUGUGGCGAAAGCGGCCUCCUAAACGAAUACUGACACUGAGGUGCGAAAGCGUGGGGAGCAAACAGGGAUUAGAUACC